AAGAUAGGUCAUCUAUCCCUCAAAGUUAUGGUGUCCUCACCCGUUAAUAAGACCCCACUCCUUACCCUGCCUUCCUCCUCAAGGUGUUAAUAAUUAUAGAGGAACUCUACUUGGGGCCCUCUCCUACUCAUUUUACCCAAGCAACCAAGUGCACCAUUCCUACCUCCUCCCUUGGUGACUGUAAAGUCACGUGGGACCCUGGAGCAGACACACUUCAGAGGCCACCUCUCAACAGUCCCUUCUACCAUAUUCUACCAAAUGCUAGUGAUAACGCGUCUCAUGAUGCUGAGCAGUGGCAGUGAGCCACAGCCCCAAGUCAGCCAUGUGAUCACAAGGAGUCAGUGGUGGCAUAACAUAAGAGCCUAGCCCCUGAAGCCAGAAUGCCUGGGUUCACAUCGCAG
Molecule: long non-coding RNA, 401 nt
Organism: Aethalodelphis obliquidens (Pacific white-sided dolphin)
Lineage: Eukaryota; Metazoa; Chordata; Mammalia; Artiodactyla; Delphinidae
Exons: 3
Source: RefSeq, a predicted model, not a curated record